GACGAAGGGGGCUAGCGUUGUUCGGAAUUACUGGGCGUAAAGCGCACGUAGGCGGCUUUGUAAGUUAGAGGUGAAAGCCCGGGGCUCAACUCCGGAAUUGCCUUUAAGACUGCAUCGCUAGAACGUCGGAGAGGUAAGUGGAAUUCCGAGUGUAGAGGUGAAAUUCGUAGAUAUUCGGAAGAACACCAGUGGCGAAGGCGACUUACUGGACGACCGUUGACGCUGAGGUGCGAAAGCGUGGGGAGCAAACAGG
Molecule: ribosomal RNA, 253 nt
Filed under: uncultured bacterium
Lineage: Bacteria
Description: partial 16S ribosomal RNA
Rfam family: Bacterial small subunit ribosomal RNA
Source: RNAcentral